This 265-nucleotide ribosomal RNA is filed under the name Lupinus angustifolius (narrow-leaved blue lupine). Its description in RNAcentral is "rRNA LSU_rRNA_eukarya". It matches the Rfam family "Eukaryotic large subunit ribosomal RNA", at positions 1506 to 1763 of the family's 3401-position model. Lineage: Eukaryota; Viridiplantae; Streptophyta; Magnoliopsida; Fabales; Fabaceae. The record is from RNAcentral.
GUUCCAUGUGAACGACACUUGCACAUGGGUUAGUCUAUCCUAAGGGACGGGGGAAGCCCGUGUGAUAGCGCUCUAAGCGCGCACUCCGAAAGGGAAUCGGGUUAAAAUUCCUGAACCGGGACGUNCCGGGACGUGGCGGCUGACGACAACGUUAGGGAGUUCAGAGACGUUGGCAGGGGGCCCGGAAAGAGUUAUCUUUUCUGUUUAACAACCUGCCCACCCUGGAAACGGCUCAGCCGGAGGUAGGGUAUAGUGGCUGGAAGAG